RNAcentral lists this ribosomal RNA (117 nucleotides) under Peptococcaceae bacterium BRH_c23. Lineage: Bacteria; Bacillati; Bacillota; Clostridia; Eubacteriales; Peptococcaceae. The record is from RNAcentral.
UCUGGUGAUCAUGCCGGAGGGGUUCCACCCGUUCCCUUCUCGAACACGGAAGUUAAGACCUCCAGGGCCGAUGAUACUUGGGGCGCAAGCCCCUGGGAAAGUAGGUUGUCGCCAGGU